RNAcentral lists this non-coding RNA (87 nucleotides) under Pseudomonas panipatensis. The record is from RNAcentral. Lineage: Bacteria; Pseudomonadati; Pseudomonadota; Gammaproteobacteria; Pseudomonadales; Pseudomonadaceae.
AUCUAUGGUGGAUCGUGUGAGGCAGGCUAACGCCUGGCCGGGCCCUUGCUAGCCGGUACUGCGAACCUCGCACGAUCCGCCUCCCAA